Chiroxiphia lanceolata (lance-tailed manakin) is the source of this 955-nucleotide long non-coding RNA. RefSeq lists it as uncharacterized. The record is from RefSeq and is a predicted model, not a curated record. Lineage: Eukaryota; Metazoa; Chordata; Aves; Passeriformes; Pipridae. The transcript has 3 exons.
UUUGUCCUUCCCUCUCUCCUCCCUCCCUCCCUCCCUCCCUCCCUAAUCCUCCCCCACUCUCCCUUCCUCCCACCCUGAGGUGGCACUUGAGUGCAUGUAGUGGUUCUUACAGUUACAUAGUUUGCUAAUCUGCAGGGCAAAGGGAAUAAUAUGGAACUAAUUUAUCCAUUUUGUUUACAUGAAGGGUGCCAAGGGAAUGAAUUUUUCUGAGAACAGCAAUUGUGUUGUGUAUUCAAGGUAAUGUGUUUCAUGAGUAAAGAGACAGCCUUGGAAUAAAUAGGCAUACGCUGCAGCUGAUCAGGAGAUGAGGGCCCAAGAGCAGACUACAAAUUCGCGUUAUCUGAUGGUCAGCCUGCUUGUUAUAGAUAACACCUGCAAAAUAGCACUGCACAUAAGAAGCACCCAAUACAGCCCUCAGAAUAAUUGAAAGGAAAUAAUGGAUAAUAUUGUGGAGGAGAAAGAGCCUACACCAGCUUGAACUUCUUUCUGCUUAUUUUAGAGAAUAAUUUUUGGUGUGAAAUGUCUUCGAAGUCAUGUUCUGAAGAUUCAUUUUGUCUGACAGCAAACUAGCAUGGAUGCAGUAUGGAUGCUGGAUUGACAUCAACGCGAAAGACAAUUACUAACAAGUAAUUUGAUGGUGAAUAUAUAUCUAAAGUUAUCACCCCCUAGUUCCCUGUAAGCAGAUAUGAUAUUAUUAACUGGGGCACACCAUUACUUUGCAAUUCUAGUUUUUCUUUUAUGGAAUCUGGAACAUGGAAAAGAGAAAUGGAUAAUGAAGAUGUGGAGGCAGGACACUAUCAGGCAGUGUCAACACUUAUUCCCAGCCACUUGAAGCCCUGUGUUUGUUUGGUAUUUUUUGUGCCUCAAGGUGAACUUAAUGCACAAAACAGAUUUACAAAAACUGCAUAAUUGUUUUUCUUUUUUCAUACCAUUAAAGUCUUUGCUACUAAAUAUU